GACGACGGCUGGCGGCGUGCUUAACACAUGCAAGUCGAACGGUGAUCUUGAGAGCUUGCUCUUGGGUGAUCAGUGGCGAACGGGUGAGUAACACGUGAGUAACCUGCCCCUGACUCUGGAAUAACUUCGGGAAACCGAAGCUAAUACCGGAUAUGACACAGAGCCGCAUGGUUUCUGUGUGGAAAGUUUUUCGGUUGGGGAUGGACUCGCGGCCUAUCAGCUUGUUGGUGAGGUAAUGGCUCACCAAGGCGACGACGGGUAGCCGGCCUGAGAGGGCGACCGGCCACACUGGGACUGAGACACGGCCCAGACUCCUACGGGAGGCAGCAGUGGGGAAUAUUGCACAAUGGGCGAAAGCCUGAUGCAGCGACGCCGCGUGAGGGAUGACGGCCUUCGGGUUGUAAACCUCUUUCAGCAGGGAAGAAGCGAAAGUGACGGUACCUGCAGAAGAAGCACCGGCUAACUACGUG
RNAcentral lists this ribosomal RNA (470 nucleotides) under uncultured bacterium. RNAcentral describes it as "bacterial SSU rRNA". It matches the Rfam family "Bacterial small subunit ribosomal RNA", at positions 28 to 507 of the family's 1533-position model. The record is from RNAcentral.